This 500-nucleotide ribosomal RNA is filed under the name uncultured bacterium. RNAcentral describes it as "bacterial SSU rRNA". It matches the Rfam family "Bacterial small subunit ribosomal RNA", at positions 28 to 526 of the family's 1533-position model. The record is from RNAcentral.
GAUGAACGCUGGCGGCGUGCUUAACACAUGCAAGUCGAACGAAGCACUAAAACUUGAUCCCUUCGGGGUGAAGGAGUUAGUGACUGAGUGGCGGACGGGUGAGUAACGCGUGGGUAACCUGCCUUAUACAGGGGGAUAACAGUUGGAAACGGCUGCUAAUACCGCAUAAGCGCACAGUGCUGCAUGGCACAGUGUGAAAAACUGAGGUGGUAUAAGAUGGACCCGCGUCUGAUUAGCUGGUUGGUGAGGUAACGGCUCACCAAGGCGACGAUCAGUAGCCGGCCUGAGAGGGUGAACGGCCACAUUGGGACUGAGACACGGCCCAGACUCCUACGGGAGGCAGCAGUGGGGAAUAUUGCACAAUGGGGGAAACCCUGAUGCAGCGACGCCGCGUGAAGGAAGAAGUAUCUCGGUAUGUAAACUUCUAUCAGCAGGGAAGAAAAUGACGGUACCUGACUAAGAAGCCCCGGCUAAUUACGUGCCAGCCGCCGCCGUAACAC